RNAcentral lists this ribosomal RNA (521 nucleotides) under Halichoeres hartzfeldii (Hartzfeld's wrasse). RNAcentral's name for it is "partial 12S ribosomal RNA". It matches the Rfam family "Bacterial small subunit ribosomal RNA", at positions 774 to 1521 of the family's 1533-position model. Lineage: Eukaryota; Metazoa; Chordata; Actinopteri; Labriformes; Labridae. The record is from RNAcentral.
GGGAUUAGAUACCCCACUAUGCCUAGCCCUAAACAUUGAUAAGCCCCCACUUAACUUAUCCGCCCGGGUACUACGAGCAAUAGCUUAAAACCCAAAGGACUUGGCGGUGCUUUAGACCCAACUAGAGGAGCCUGUCCUAGAACCGAUAACCCCCGUUCAACCUCACCUUUCCUUGUCAUAUCCGCCUAUAUACCGCCGUCGUCAGAUUACUCUGUGAGGAACUCGUAGUAUACAGAAUCGGCACAGCCAAAAACGCCAGGUCGAGGUGUAGCGUAUGGAAAGGGCUAGAGAUGGGCUACAUUCAAUAUCUAUAAUGAAUACGAAUGGUACAAAUGAAAAAAGUACUUGAAGGAGGAUUUAGUAGUAAGCAGUGAAUAGAGUGCUCUGCUGAAACUGGCACUAAGGCGCGCACACACCGCCCGUCACUCUCCCCGAGCUAACAGAAAUGCAUUCCUAAUAAGCGAACGCCGCUAAGGGGAGGCAAGUCGUAACAUGGUAAGCGUACCGGAAGGUGCGCUUGG